AGGGAAAACGGGAAUUUUGGGGCGGAAAAAAAUGGGAAUUUUGGGGGUGGGAAUGGCCAGUUUGAUAUUUGGUGUUGUUUUUGAUGGCUGGAAAAAGGAAAAAAAAUCAUGGAAAACACCAGGAAAAGGAGGAAUUUGGGAAUAUUCCACAGCUGGAAUCCCCAAAUCCCAGCGAUUUUCACCAAGGGGAGUUUCUCCUUUCCGUCGUGGUUUUUAAUGGAUACAAAAGAACAGAAAAUGGG
Corvus hawaiiensis (hawaiian crow) is the source of this 242-nucleotide long non-coding RNA. RefSeq lists it as uncharacterized. The transcript is spliced from 2 exons. Lineage: Eukaryota; Metazoa; Chordata; Aves; Passeriformes; Corvidae. The record is from RefSeq and is a predicted model, not a curated record.